This 253-nucleotide ribosomal RNA is filed under the name uncultured bacterium. RNAcentral describes it as "partial 16S ribosomal RNA". It matches the Rfam family "Bacterial small subunit ribosomal RNA", at positions 524 to 776 of the family's 1533-position model. The record is from RNAcentral.
UACAGCGGUCUCGAGCGUUGUUCGGAUUCAUUGGGCGUAAAGGGCGCGUAGGCGGCGGGGUAAGUCUGGUGUGAAAUCUCGGAGCUCAACUCCGAAAUUGCACUGGAUACUGCUCUGCUAGAGGGCUGGAGAGGAGAUCGGAAUUCACGGUGUAGCAGUGAAAUGCGUAGAUAUCGUGAGGAAGACCAGUGGCGAAGGCGGAUCUCUGGACAGCUCCUGACGCUGAGGCGCGAAGGCUAGGGGAGCAAACGGG